GAAAUGCGAUAAGUAGUGUGAAUUGCAGAAUUCAGUGAAUCAUCGAAUCUUUGAACGCACAUUGCGCCCCUUGCUAUUCCAUGGGGCAUGCCUGUUCGAGCGUCAUUUGUACCCUCAAGCUCUGCUUGGUGUUGGGUGAUUGUCCCCGUCUCCGCGCGUGGACUCGCCCCAAAGUGAUUGGCAGCCGGCGUACUGGUCCCGGAGCGCAGCACAUGUCGCGCAAACGAGUGCCUUGGUACGGCGGCGUCCAUAAGCCCCUCUCUCACGCUCUUGACCUCGGAUCAGGUAGGGAUACCCGCUGAACUUAAGC
Molecule: unclassified non-coding RNA, 310 nt
Filed under: plant metagenome
Description: partial contains 5.8S ribosomal RNA, internal transcribed spacer 2, and large subunit ribosomal RNA
Rfam family: 5.8S ribosomal RNA (bases 1-105)
Source: RNAcentral